Molecule: ribosomal RNA, 474 nt
Filed under: uncultured bacterium
Lineage: Bacteria
Description: bacterial SSU rRNA
Rfam family: Bacterial small subunit ribosomal RNA
Source: RNAcentral
AGGACGAACGCUGGCGGCGUGCCUAACACAUGCAAGUCGAACGGACGAGGAGAGCUGCUCUCCGAGUUAGUGGCGAACGGGUGAGUAACGCGUGAGCAACCUGCCUUCAGAGGGGGACAACGGUUGGAAACGACCGCUAAUACCGCAUGAUGCAAUCGGGUCGCAUGAUCUGAUUGCCAAAGAUUUAUCGCUGAAAGAUGGGCUCGCGUCUGAUUAGAUAGUUGGUGGGGCAACGGCCUACCAAGUCGACGAUCAGUAGCCGGACUGAGAGGUUGAACGGCCACAUUGGGACUGAGAUACGGCCCAGACUCCUACGGGAGGCAGCAGUGGGGAAUAUUGGACAAUGGGGGAAACCCUGAUCCAGCGACGCCCGCGUGAGUGAAGAAGUAUUUCGGUAUGUAAAGCUCUAUCAGCAGGGAAGAUAAUGACAGUACCUGACUAAGAAGCCCCGGCUAACUACGUGCCAGCAGCUGC